GUAGGGAAUAUUGCGCAAUGGACGAAAGUCUGACGCAGCGACGCCGCGUGAGUGAUGAAGGCCUUAGGGUCGUAAAGCUCUGUUGAAUGGGAAGAAAAAAAUUACGGUACCAUUCGAGGAAGGACCGGCUAACUUCGUGCCAGCAGCCGCGGUAAUACGAGGGGUCCUAGCGUUGUUCGGAAUCAUUGGGCGUAAAGGGUGUGUAGGUGGCCAUGUAAGUCAGGUGUGAAAGCCCCGGGCUCAACCCGGGAAGUGCACUUGAUACUGCGUGGCUUGAGUACCGAAGAGGGUAGUGGAAUUCCAGGUGUAGUGGUGAAAUACGUAGAUAUCUGGAGGAACACCGGUGGCGAAGGCGGCUACCUGGUCGAGUACUGACACUGAGACACGAAAGCAUGGGGAUCAAACAGGAUUAGAAACCCCGGUAGUCC
This 428-nucleotide ribosomal RNA is filed under the name uncultured bacterium. RNAcentral's name for it is "partial 16S ribosomal RNA". It matches the Rfam family "Bacterial small subunit ribosomal RNA", at positions 354 to 796 of the family's 1533-position model. The record is from RNAcentral.